This 254-nucleotide ribosomal RNA is filed under the name uncultured bacterium. Its description in RNAcentral is "partial 16S ribosomal RNA". It matches the Rfam family "Bacterial small subunit ribosomal RNA", at positions 524 to 776 of the family's 1533-position model. The record is from RNAcentral.
UACGUAGGGUGCGAGCGUUAAUCGGAAUUACUGGGCGUAAAGCGUGCGCAGGCGGUCUGUUAAGACCGAUGUGAAAUCCCCGGGCUUAACCUGGGAACUGCAUUGGUGACUGGCAGGCUUUGAGUGUGGCAGAGGGGGGUAGAAUUCCACGUGUAGCAGUGAAAUGCGUAGAGAUGUGGAGGAGUACCGAUGGCGAAGGCAGCCCCCUGGGCCAACACUGACGCUCAUGCACGAAAGCGUGGGGAGCAAACAGG